GCUGUUAGUUAAUGCUCUAUUUAUAUUUUUUGCCAACAGAACAAAUUUAUGUUUCCAGCAAAAAAGUUGGCCGGCCCCAGCAAAAAAAAAGAACAGUUCCAGCAAAAAAAGAUCGCCGCCGUGGUCACAGGUACUAAAUGGUUCCACUGUACAUCUCUGUAGUUAUUUGGCUGAAGGUGCGCAUUAGUGGUUAGCUGUGAUAAUACAAAUAGUAAACAUGUUAUACCAGGUAGCAGAACUUCACGAAAAUUUGCUGAAGGAGUUGCAUCAUCCUUGAUCAAAUAUUAUUUUUAUUAUUCCUUCUUGGUUUUAGACAAUAACAUUAGAGAAUCUAAAUCCUUUUACCGCGCAUCAGUACAUGUAAUAGAGCAACUCUUGGUGCAACUAGCUGCAGCAAAGACCAACUUGACUUGAUGGUAUUUUUGAUCUGUUCACCUACCCUCCCUCGCUCAAUUUUCUUGGGAAAAAACACCCGCCCAAUGAAGCCAUCUCCGUGUCGCAUACCUAUUGCCACAACCAACUAAGCUAGCCCAGUGUUUUUUGUGGAAAAGAUGGUUGUUCCUUCUAUUAAAUAGUCCCACCUCGCCCCUUUACACCCAAUCCUCUUAAUUUCCUUAUGCCUUUGAAUUUCCUAGGUGUCAACAAGCAGUCUUCGGAAUCAUCAAUAAGCCAACAGCGAGAAAUAAGUUCAAGAAUUGAGUUCCCUUAACAGGGAAAUAAGGAAGGGAAGAAACAAAUAGGGAACAAUCAGAUGAAGCAUCAAGGAAAAUGGAUUGAACAAUCAGAUGAAGCAUCAAGGAAAAUGGAUUGAACAAUCAGAUGAAGCAUCCAGCUCGAGGAGAAGCAUGGUCUGCAAGGAGACCAAUCAUCUUGAGGUGGUUCUUUCAGCUACUGCAUGUUCCAUUACGGAGAAGGGUACUUAGUCGAUCUUAGGAGCCAGACUCUGCUUUCCUUGCAGGGAGAAUUUCAAUAAAUGGUACUAUUACUCUCCCAACAAUUCUUUUAUCACUACAAAAUGUGUAGGAACCUUAUUUUUCUUAAGUGGCAUAAUGUGAUUUCUUAAGUGUUGUGUUGUAACACUUUAGAGUAAAAGAAUAAUUAUGUAUGAAGAAUAAUAUUACCGAGUCAGGCAGAAUUUGACCUUAGUUCUGACCAAAUUAAUCUUUAUUUGUUUGCCAGGUUGUGUGUCAAACAUCACUUCAUGUUGUAGUCCAUUUUUUCCUUUCAAAAGCCACAUUAUGAAAUUUGGCUUUAUAAGAAGUUUCACUUUAUUAUUAGUGGAGAACGGGAGAUAAGGAAAGGGAAGGGAAAAACAGUAAUUCUAGCAACUAGCCAUUGUUCCGUGGCAAAACACGGGUGUUUGUUCUAUUAUGUCCAUCGGAAAUCUUUACGGAGGAGUUGGGACUGAGUGAGUGACAUAGAUUUGCUUGAGGUCACAAAUUCUUUUCUGCUGUUACUUGCAUCUUACUUGAAUUUUUUUCUUCAAGUUCUUCCUGUUUUCCCAUAUCCUCUGCUCUAUAGAAGCUGCUACAUCAAAUUAAGUAAGUGCAUCCUUCUUUUUUGUCCAAGUUUGUUCUAUUCUAUUACUCAGAAGUCUGUACAAGACUGAGAGAGUGAAGCAUAUUUGCUUGAGAUUUGAAUACUUUUUUGAUGUCGGGUUUGUACGCUAUACAGUUUGAUUAAUGAAAACUGAUAAAAGUAGUGGCAAACACUUGAUUGAGUAAGCUACUGGAUUUUACCAGUAAUACACAGUAGUUUCUUGCAAUAUUAUCUGCAUGACAAGAAACACCCAUAUUUGAUUUUGCUCUGUGAUUGGUUCAAAUAUCACUUUUUGGCUAAAGCUGAUUGGAUACGAGUAGUAGUGCCAACAGUAAUAACUUUAAAU
Molecule: long non-coding RNA, 1885 nt
Filed under: Triticum aestivum (bread wheat)
Lineage: Eukaryota; Viridiplantae; Streptophyta; Magnoliopsida; Poales; Poaceae
Description: long non-coding RNA (TAES_LNC005469)
Source: RNAcentral